UAAAAUUUAUAAAAUUAGGUAGUAAAGAAAUUUCUGAAACCUAAAGAAUUUGGCGGUAUUUUAAAUAAUUGGAGGAACCUGUUGUUUAAUUGACAAUCCACAGCAUAUCUCACCUAAAUUUUAUUUGUAUAUCGUCGUUUUGAUAAUAUUUAAAAAUAAUAAUCAAUUUUAAUAAAUUUCUUAAAUUCAGAUCAAGGUGCAGUAUAUUUAGGUUAUAAUGGGUUACAAUAUAUUUAUAUAUAAUGAAUAUAAAAUUGAAAUUAUAUUGAAAGUGGAUUCAAAAGUAAAAUUAAACUAAAAAGUUAAUUUGAUUAAUAAUUUAAAAUAUGC
Molecule: ribosomal RNA, 330 nt
Filed under: Paravaejovis waeringi
Lineage: Eukaryota; Metazoa; Arthropoda; Arachnida; Scorpiones; Vaejovidae
Description: partial 12S ribosomal RNA
Source: RNAcentral